RNAcentral lists this ribosomal RNA (253 nucleotides) under uncultured bacterium. Its description in RNAcentral is "partial 16S ribosomal RNA". It matches the Rfam family "Bacterial small subunit ribosomal RNA", at positions 524 to 776 of the family's 1533-position model. The record is from RNAcentral.
GACGUAGGAGGCGAGCGUUGUCCGGAUUCAUUGGGCGUAAAGAGCACGCAGGCGGUUUGGCAAGUCGGACGUGAAAAUCCGGGGCUCAACCCCGGACCUGCAUCCGAAACUGCCCGACUAGAGGUAGGUAGGGGAGAUCGGAAUUCCUGGUGUAGCGGUGAAAUGCGCAGAUAUCUGGAGGAACACCGGUGGCGAAGGCGGCAUCCUGGACCAACACUGACACUGAGGAGCGAAAGCCAGGGGAGCAAACGGG